UGCAUACUACCUCCUUGCCGCGCCCGGGCUUCACGGCGGCGGCGUGUACGUGUUCCUGCAGCACGCACGACGCCUACAAGUCCAACUUCUGCACGCUAAAUCGGAGCUAUCGGGCCUGGAAAGCAAGAAACGAGCACCAACACCACCUGCCUCCAAAAGGUUUAUAUCUCAAGUCAAUCCAGCAUUUCAUAUCGAGUCUACGAGGUGCUCUGUUCAAAACCAACACUACAGGUUACCAUCUGAAGCUGCCUUUUAUCACCCAAUCUGAGC
This is a long non-coding RNA of Lolium rigidum, 270 nucleotides long. RefSeq lists it as uncharacterized. The transcript is spliced from 4 exons. The record is from RefSeq and is a predicted model, not a curated record. Lineage: Eukaryota; Viridiplantae; Streptophyta; Magnoliopsida; Poales; Poaceae.